UCUGUCAGCUGCUCAGUAGUCAGUGUAGAUCCUGUGGGGCAGUCAGCAGCUACAUCUGGCUACUGGGUCGCUGAUGGCUGCC
Salmo salar (Atlantic salmon) is the source of this 82-nucleotide non-coding RNA. NCBI's taxonomy places the organism in Eukaryota, Metazoa, Chordata, Actinopteri, Salmoniformes, Salmonidae. The record is from Rfam.